GCACCAUGGCACCAUGGCACCAAGGCGCCAUGGCACCAAGGCACAACGCACCGUGGCAAAUUCAAAAGAGCGUAAACUUACAUUCGAUCAUCCUAAUAUUUUCCUGACGUUCCUCGAUCCUCCUCACCGUUGGACACUCAUUUCUCUACAUAUCCGCUCUAAUUUUGUAUUUUAAAUAUAUGUCAAUGCUACCUCAUAUGUCGUGGCGAUUUUCAUAAUGUCCCGUCGCCUUUUUUUCAAAUUUUUAUUUAAUAUCCUUAAAUUUAAAUAUUUUAUAUCGGUACGUCAUUCGUACAAAUACGUACUCAAUUUUUGGUUUAAGUCUACUUCAUUCUAAUAUGCAUAUUUUGGGGUUGUUACUUAUUUUUAUAUUUUUUUAAAAUUUUUAUUUAAUAUCCUUAAAUUUAAAUAUUUUAUAUCGUUAUGUUAUAUGUACAAAUAUGCAUUCGAUUGAUGGUUUAAGGUUAGUUCUGAGAAGUGUUCGAGUGUGAGCAUACCUGUCGGGACCCGAAAGAUGGUGAACUAUGCCUGAGCAGGGCGAAGCCAGAGGAAACUCAGGUGGAGGCCCGCAGCGAUACUGACAUGCAAAUCGUUCGUCUGACUUGGGUAUAGGGGCGAAAGACUAAUCGAACCGUCUAGUAGCUGGUUCCCUACGAAGUUUCCCUCAGGAUAGCUGGAGCUCGCGUGCGAGUUCUUUCGGGUAAAGCUAAUGAUUAGAGGCGUCGAGGGCGCAAUGCCCUCGACCUCGCGCGGCUGCUUGGUUGAGCCGCACCACGGAAUCAGGAGCUCCAAGUGGGCCAUUUUUGGUAAUCAGAACUGGCGAUGCGGGAUGAACCAAAUGCCGGGUUACGAUGCCAAAUUGUGUGCUAACCUAGAUCCCACAAAGGGUGUUGGUCGAUUAAGACAGCAGGACGGUGGUCAUGGAAGUCGAAAUCCGCUAAGGAAUGUGUAACAACUCACCUGCCGAAUAUACUAGCCUCGAAAAUGGAUAGCGCUUAAGCGCACAACCUAAACCCAGUCGUCGGGGCAAAUACCAAGACCUGAUGAGUAGGAGGGCACGACGGUCGCUGCAAAACCUUGGGCGUGAUCCCGGGCAGGGCGGCCGUCGGUGCAGAUCUUGGUGGUAGUAGAAAAUAUUCAAAUGAGAACUUUGAAGGCCGAAUAGGGGAAAGGUUCCAUGUUAACGGCACUUUCACAUAGGUUAGUCGAUCCUAAGGGUCAGGGAAACCCUGACAGACAGCACAUUUCGCGCGUGCUCCAAAAGAGAAUCAGGUUAAAAUUCCUAAACCGGGACGUGGCAGUCGACGGCAACGUUAGGAAGUUUGGAGACAUCGGAGGGAGCCUCGGAAAGAGUUAUCUUUUCUAUUUAACAGCCUUCCCACCCUGGAAUCAGCUAAGCCAUAGGUAGGGUCCAGCGGCUAGAAGAGCACCGCAUGUCGCGUGGUGUCCGAUGCGCUCCCGGCGGCCCUUGAAAAUCCGGAGGACCGAAUACCGUCCACGCCCGGUCAUACUCAUAACCGCAUCAGGUCUCCAAGGUGAACAACCUCUGGUCGAUGGAAUAAUGUAGGCAAGGAAAGUUUGCAAAAUGGAUUUGUAACUUCGGGAGAAGGAUUGGCUUUGAGGGCUAGGCACGGGGGUCCCAGUACCGAGCUCGUCGACUGUCGGUGGACUGCUCGAGAUGCUCCCCGCGCAUUGAACAGCCAACUCAGAACUGGUACGAACAAGGGGAAUCCGACUGUUUAAUUAAAAAAAAGCAUUGCGAUGGUCCCAACGGAUGUUCACGCAAUGUGAUUUCUGCCCAGUGCUCUAAAUGUCAAACUAAAGAAAUUCAACCAAGCUCGGGUAAACAGCGGGAGUAACUAUGACUCUCUUAAGGUAGCCAAAUGCCUCGUCAUCUAAUUAGUGAUGCGCAUGAAUGGAUUAACGAGUUUCCUACUGUCCCUGUCUACUAUCCAGCGAAACCACAGCCAAGGGAAUGGGCUUGGCAGAAUCAGCGGGGAAAGAAGACCCUGUUGAGCUUGACUCUAGUCCAACUUUGUGAAAUGACUUGAGAGGUGUAUUAUAAGUGGGCGCCGAAAGGCAAAAGUGAAAUACCAUUACUUUUAAUGUUAUUUUACUUAUUCCGUGAAUCAGAAGUGGGCCACUGCCCCUCUUUUUAGACCCAAGGCUCGCUCUGCGGGCCGAUCUGGGCGGAAGACAUUGUCAGGUGGGGAGUUUGGAUGGGGCGGCACAUCUGUUUAAGGAUAACGCAGGAGUCCUAAGAUGAGCAGAAAGAGAACAGAAAUCUCGUGUGGUAUGAUUCUCUGGCAAAAUCAUGUCUACUCCUGUAACUUGGGUUUUAUUUUAAGCAUAUAUAAGGGGGGUAGAGGUGUUGAAGGCACUUCAAGGCGACUGUCGGUAGUUGGCAUAGGCGCUCAGUGGCCAUGUCGGCGUGUAGCGUGGGCACAUGGAAGCAUGCAUGGCUAGUCCGUGCGAGCGGCAAGUGCUCGUGUAGCAACGUCGGCGGUGCUUCAUUGUACGUUCGUGUCAAUUAUCGGUGGCGGCGUCUGCGACGGAGCUGCUGGCGCUUGAAUUCAGACGAGGCGGUGCUAUCCUGAGAGCGGCGAGUCCUGGAUACUACCCUCGGGGCAAGCUCUAGGCACUGCACACAUGCGGCAGAGCCCAAUCUGCAGACGAGCGUCGACGGCCAUCGUGGGUGGCGCCCGUGCAUGAUCCUCGGCGUGCCUUCAUCUUCUCUGCUCCUCCCAAGGCCGGGCUAUCAUGUCAAGUGGGACUUGCUUCAGCCUUGCGACAUCCGCAUGGGUAGCAGCACACGAAAUCUAUUGUUGGGCGUUGGGGCC
Molecule: ribosomal RNA, 2840 nt
Filed under: Capsicum baccatum
Lineage: Eukaryota; Viridiplantae; Streptophyta; Magnoliopsida; Solanales; Solanaceae
Description: bacterial LSU rRNA
Rfam family: Eukaryotic large subunit ribosomal RNA (bases 323-2840)
Source: RNAcentral